UUAAAUGAAGACUUUAGGCUCCCUUUCCCUUUUCUACACCAGUUAAUUUUAUAGAUUCUAGUCGUGGCUGGUUCUGUGGGAAUUGUUCUUUUUCUUAACAUGUUGAAAACUACUCUUAAUCAAAUUAGUACUGUCAUUUAAGCCUUGAAUACGUCAUGGUAAUUGCCUGGUUUCUGCUAUAAAUGUUAGAAAAUUCUUGAUGUUUCUCACUUUUGUGGUCUCUUUUGCCAUUGUAGGUUCAUAAACUGUGGGUUCAUAAACUGUGCUAUUUAUAUCCAUUCCAGAGUUCUGUCUUCUUGAGGCAGUGCAGGAAGGAGAGUGAGUGGGGGGCCUGUUUCUUCACAGUAAGCUCUAUAAUGAAACAAUUGUCUAAAUCUAGAAAGCACAUAAAGGACAGUUGUCUCUCUUUGGACAUGCUUAAAUGUAUUCUGUUGUGAAAGGCACUUUUCCCAGAGACUUGCUUAAAGUCAAGUGGCUUCUGUAAUUAUGUGUAUGUUAUGUUUGCACUCUCUCCUUUCCGGAUAAACCUUUUGUGUUAGUUGGCCUUUAUGAUAUCUCAUAACCACGUAAGCUCUGAAUUCUACUGGUGUUAUUUUCUUUGAGAUGCCUGACUACUUUUUUUAAUGUGACAUUGAGGAGGAAGGAGAUGAUCUCAUUUGGGGUGAGUGGAGACUUGGUCAGACUAAGAGAAACUGCAAAUGAUUAGGGACUGAUAGAAUCUUAAUUGCUUAAGACCUGUUUUAGUAUUCUGGCUUUUGAGUUACCUUUCCACAGAGAAGACUUUGCAAAGACACUUCUCCAGGAAAGCAGAGCUUUAGGGCUGUGGAUACAAAGAUUUAACUAUUUUCAGCCAGUGUACAGGGGAAGAGGAGGAGGGCAGAGAAUUGCCUUCUGUAUCAAACUUGAGAGGAAAAAAUAGAUGCCCUCUGUCUUCAGAUUCCAAAAGCUUAGGCAUCUCAUUUGUUAGGCUGUCCCUUCUGAUUUAGUACUUGUUUUGUUUUUCCUUUUUAAUACAGAGUUGGGCUUCCCUUGUGGCUCAGCUGGUAAAGAAUCCACCUGCAAUGCAGGAGACCUGGGUUCGAUGCCUGGGUUGGGAAGAUCCCUGGAGAGGGGAAAGGCUACCCACUCCAGUAUUCUGGCCUAGAGAAUUCUAUGGACUGUAUAGUCCAUGGGGUUGCAAAGAGUCGGACACGACUGAGUGACGUUCACUUCACUGGUGGCCAAUCGUGAGUUUUAGUUAUAAGACAGCAUAGACCCAUAAUUCUGGUUCAUUUGGCUGUGUUUGACUUUUCAAAUUAAAAGGUGGAGUUUUGUGAGGAAGAUAACAUUUAGUACAGUUACCCAGAAUGAGAAAUAAAACAUCUUAAUAUAUAUUUUCCUAAAAUAGAAUCUAUGUGAGGAAAUGUUUUAUAAGUAUCUUUGGGGUGUUUUACUUCACUCCAUCAGCACGUGGUAGGGGUGUGUAGAGGAAACCUGUUCGGGAGCAAAGAGCAGAAAUGUGUUCAGGUGUGGCAGUGUGGUUGUGGCUGAGGAAACCGAAGCAGUGGGAGUCUGGACAGGGGCCCUGAAAGGAUGUGCACACAGGUGAGUCCUCGUCAGUUAUCCAGGAAGGGCGGCAGCUGUGAAUCUGUGGCAUCAUGGGAAGCCACUCUUAUCCAGUGGUUCUCAUGCUUUUUCCUUUUCAGCUCACUUUAAGCAAAGAUUUUUGUCAAUUAAAAAAAAAAAAACUUCACUGGGGACAGGAUACUGGAUGUCAUUUUAAAGGUAAUAGGAAUCUCUUAAAAUUUGGAGGUGACUGCUUUCAGAAGAUGAUCUAGUGGCAGAAUGGAGGGUUGGAGGGCAGGUAGAAUUGAAAACAAGAUGAUUAGAUAAUAAGUAGCACAGUGGACCUUGGUUUCAUCUUUUAUGCUCAUGGAAUUUAGAAGACCAUCACCAGCCUGUAGCCAUAGAGUGGUUACAGAUACGAGAUGGUGUUAAAGGAAUGGAUGCUGAAAGUACUUAUAAGUACAGGGCUUGUCACUGUAGUGGUGAGGUCAUCCUGUUCCCUUUACAGGAAGUGUUUUCUGUUCUCUUUCUUACUCCAGACUUAAUAGGAGUUCAGAAGUUGGACCGUCAGGGUCUCCUCUGGGCUCUAAGACUGUGUAACCUUGGGAAAAUAAUUUCUUGUUUUUUCCUCAUCAGAAAAACGAGGUCCAAUUCAUAUUUAAAAUCAUUCCACACUUACAGCUUCUAAGUUCUUUUUUUAAAAAAAUUUAUUUUUUGAUUGAAGGAUAAUUGCUGGUACAGAAUUUUGUUUUCUAUCAAACCUCAAUAUGAAUCAGCCAUGGGUAUACAUAUGUCCCUAAGUUCUUAAUAGUAUUUAUCUGGGGGGGAGGAAUAAGGAUAAUAGAUGACUGUAAGCAAAGUGAUUCUUUUAAAUAAUUCCAGUCACAGACAGCAGUCAGCUAUGUAAACCCCACUGGUGUCCUUUUAUCUAUGGGCUGUUAACUUGAGAAAGUGAGACCGGCUGUCAGUUAAAAAGAAAAAAAGAGUCCACUCUCUUCUAUGAUAUUUAAAUAUUUAUUUAAGUUUAAAAAUAAUUUUCAUGGCACCAGUGAUUUUAUGCUAACUACAUACUGCAUAUGUAGAAAAAAGUACAUUGCUUUGAAGGAAAAUGUAACUUAGAAUUUUUGGCACACGAAAGGUUAACAACUAUAUAUAUAUAUAUAUAUAUAUUUUUUAAUGAAACUAAGAAAUUCACAUUUGCAGGUAGUUUACCUUCUACUGCUUAAAGAUGCAGUACACUAUUCUUCAGUAAGAGUUUUAUUUCCUCUGAUAGAUGAAGCUAUGGAAACCAUUGCUUUUUCUACAAUGAGAUCAAACUAAUUUUGAGAGAAAAUAGACAUAGUGGAACACAGUAAAACUAGGUUAAAAAACGUGAACAACUUUUAAUGAUGGGGGAGAUACCAAAAAAGACUAGUCACCAACAGAGGAGGUUUGUUAUUCAAGCAUUAUGUGAAAAGCAAAUUGAAGGAGACUUUUCUAUCUGUAUUUUGUAGGAUAAGCUCUGGAAAAAAAUAACCCACAAGUUUCUGUUCAGAGAGCAAAUCCCGCUGUUGGAAGUGGUGUGGACUGUUGUACCGUUGGAACUCUAGAUACAAGUAACAUACCAAGAUAUGGAAUACUGCAUCUUUCGUUAAUGUGAAUAUGAAAGGUCAGAGUCGAGGCUAUCACUCACUGCAUAGAAACACCAUAUUCUACAGACUGAGGUAGGAACACUACACUAAAAGGUAAUCUGCUAUGUUGCAUAAGACAGUAGAUAUCCAGGGUAAAACCAGCCCCCUGUCUCCUGACAGCCUUGUCCUCUUUGAGUCUACUUUUCACUCAAGUCCUCUGCUAGUAAAGCCUUUCCUGUGUAGAUGACAAGUGGCAGUGGCUCUCUGGUUCUGAGUGAUCCCUGAUCUUUACUAGGAUCUCCCUCAGUUUUUGUCUUGUCACUUGGAAAACAGAUGUUUGUAAUUCUGCCCAAAUUGUUGCUGGUAUGGAAAUGAUCAGACAGGCCCUCUUCCAGGCUUUGAUUCUGGCUGCGUAGUAGCAUUACAGUUCUUCAUCUUGCUCAUCAUGGCAUCAGACAUCUCUGCUGGUUGGUUGUUCGAGCACCCUUUAAACAAGCAAGCCCACCACCUCUACUGGGAAAUGAUCCUGGAUCUUUACCUGUCAGGAAUCAGAGCAGAGCUGGCCUUCCUGCUCACACACUGGUAAGAAACAGUUCUGUUGUCUAGAUCAGGGUUGGCAAAUUCUGGCCUGUGGGCCAAAUUCAGCUCACCGUCUUUUUUUUUUUUUUUUUUCACCAUCUGUUUUUAUAAAUAAAAGAGCAAGGCUGUGUUCCAAUAGAACUGUUAUGUAUUACCUGUGGCUGUUUUUGUGCUAAGACAGCAGAGUGGAGUAGUUGCUACAGAGUAUGGCCUUCAAAACCAAAAUUUAAAAAUAUUUACCACCUGGCCCUUUACAGAAGUUUGCCGACCCUUGGUCUAGAUAAAAGGGCAUUUGAAAUUUUGCAAUACCCACCUUCAAAAAGAAGAACUCUGUUUAUUCCAUGGCUGUGAUAUUCUGUACAUGGAUAUGGUUCUGCCACCUCAGAGGACACACUGGGGCAAAGCAGACCUGCAUGUGACUCAUUCUGUUCUGCGUGCCCCAGGAAUCUGUCCACGGACCGUCCUGCCUACAUCCUCCAGCCCCAGAUGACUUGGAAAUCUCUCCCUGAGAUGAAAACAAGUUUUUUGUGUGAGCGGCUCUCUGUCUGGGAAGAAAACCUAGACAGUCCCCAUUGUCCCGGCCCCUGACCUGCCCCGCUGAGGCUGCAGUGAUGAGUCUGCUGGGCCCCCAGGGAAGCUCCUGCAGUAAACAGAAGACGCCAGCCCUCUAGUCUUCAACUAGUGUCCCGUCUGCUGGGCGACACUACUGCGAGAAUCAGUAAUAACAAAAUAAAUUAUUUUUGAUAUUUUCAAAAUAAUACACAUCUAUGAAAAAU
RNA transcript from Cervus elaphus (red deer), 4510 nucleotides. RefSeq lists it as uncharacterized. The record is from RefSeq and is a predicted model, not a curated record. The transcript has 2 exons. NCBI's taxonomy places the organism in Eukaryota, Metazoa, Chordata, Mammalia, Artiodactyla, Cervidae.